UGUUACCAAAAAAAAAAAAAAAGAGAGAGAGAGAUUUGUUUCUCAUAAUUUAUCUUUCUGUUAAUAUUGCAUAACUCCAUGUCUUUGCCUUUUGCUUGCUCAUCAGCUCAGCCCAGAAAUGCCAAACUGGACAAUGCCAGAACUGUUCCAGCCCUUUGUUUGCUGACUGAAGGAACAUUGCCCAAAGCCUGGGAUGCAUGGAGAAUCCUGGAAGGAAUCUGCUUAGGAGGAUUACCAGAAGCCUGCAUCCAAGUACAGACAUGUUUGGGACUUUCUUUCAGUUUGUCCACUUUGCCUUCUGGGUCCCUCCUGAAGCUCUUUGGUGCUGACAGCAGAAGACUUCACAAAUUAUCUACAAAUUCACUUAAUUCCUCACUCUUUAAUUUAUGCAGGUGUGUGGAAAUAAUGAGUGUUGUCAUCAACAUGAAGGAAGUAGCCAGAAGAAAAAUCCUUCAGCUCCCAGCUGGGUGA
This 471-nucleotide long non-coding RNA is filed under the name Ficedula albicollis (Collared flycatcher). RNAcentral's name for it is "lncRNA (ENSFALG00000027810.1)". Lineage: Eukaryota; Metazoa; Chordata; Aves; Passeriformes; Muscicapidae. The record is from RNAcentral.